Molecule: long non-coding RNA, 357 nt
Organism: Nicotiana attenuata
Lineage: Eukaryota; Viridiplantae; Streptophyta; Magnoliopsida; Solanales; Solanaceae
Exons: 3
Source: RefSeq, a predicted model, not a curated record
GAGGAACCGAAGGUUAGUAAGGUUGGGAAUUUCAGAAUAAGAGCUACAUCGAUGGCGACAUCAUCGCCAGCGCAAGGCUUGCAGUUUGGGGAGGGUAAAGCUAACAAGUUGGACAAAUUGCGUAUUGGUGUGCUUGGAGCUAGUGGUUACACUGGUACUGAGAUCAUCAGACUCCUGGCAAAUCAUCCACAUUUUCAGAUUACUUUGAUGACCGCUGACAGGAAAGCUGGCCAAUCAAUAUAAUCGGUUUUUUCUCACCUAGUCACACAAGAUCUUCCGAGUCUGGUUGAUGUUAAGGAUGCAGAUUUCUCUGCUGUGGAAGCUGUUUCUUGUUGUUUGCCACAUGGUACAACUCAG